CUUCGGAAGGCUUGCAAUCAUCCUUUGCUCAAUUACCCUUAUUUUAGCGACUUUUCCAAGGAUUUCCUUGUUAGAUCCUGUGGGAAGUUGUGGGUUCUGGAUAGGAUCCUCACAAAACUUCAAAGGACAGGGCAUCGGGUACUACUUUUUAGUACAAUGACAAAGCUCCUUGAUAUAUUGGAAGAGUACUUGCAAUGGCGAAGGCUGGUAUACAGGAGGAUUGAUGGAACAAC
Molecule: unclassified non-coding RNA, 233 nt
Filed under: Hevea brasiliensis (rubber tree)
Lineage: Eukaryota; Viridiplantae; Streptophyta; Magnoliopsida; Malpighiales; Euphorbiaceae
Source: RNAcentral